This 2028-nucleotide long non-coding RNA is filed under the name Gallus gallus (chicken). Its description in RNAcentral is "lncRNA (ENSGALG00010017908.1)". Lineage: Eukaryota; Metazoa; Chordata; Aves; Galliformes; Phasianidae. The record is from RNAcentral.
GUGGGAACCAUCGUGUGUCCUCAUAACGAGCACUGCAAGGCAGUGGCAUAAGGGUCAAAGUGAUCAUGUCUGGGUGACACUCAGAGACACUUUGUCCCUCUUUCCAUCCCCAGGGUGGCACUGCAGGCACCCAAAAAUAGCUGAGGGCUCAAGUUCAGCCUCCUCCCCAUGGCCUCGAAGGGGCUGCGAGUGGGAGCCCCUGUCCCUUGGGCAGGACAGUCAGCAGCCCCCAUGGGGACAGAGCAUGGAGCACUGUGUCACAGGGAAACACACACAGUUUAUUAUCCAACCAUGGCCCUGGGAGUCACUCAGCUACCCCCCAGAGUGCACAGUGCUCCUUUAACACACCCUCCAGGUGUCACAGGGUGGGGACAGGCCGUGGCCUGGAGGGGUCACCUGUCUCUGCUCCUCCCAGAACCAUCCUUGGGCAUCAGAGUCCCAAAUGUGCACAGCCCUGGGGCUCCCAGCAUCCCCCUGGUGCAGCAGGGCCAUGGAACACAGAUGUGCACACACAUUGACACACACACACAUGAAUAUAUGUGCACUGGGACAGCCAUCCACAGGAGAACCCAUGCACAUGGACACCCACACACAUGAACACUCACAUACAUGGACAACCACGCACAUGGGUAUUAUUGCACACUGGCAUCCAUGCACAUGGACACGGACACCCAUCUACAGCAGCACCCACGCACAUGAGCACCGGUGCAUGUGGUCAUCCACGCCCACGGACAUUAUCACACAGUGACCCCCGUGGGCAUGAAGACCCAUCGAUGUGGAUAUCCACAUCCACACACUUGGGCAUCCACGCAGCCGCACACACGGACACCCACAUGCAUGGACACCCGCACAUGUAGAUGUUAUUGCACACUGCUAUCCGUGCAAACAGACACCCAUGUGCAUGGGCACCCACGCAUGUUGAUGCAGAAAGGUGCACACACACAGACACCCACCCACAGCAGCACCCACACACACCAACCCCCACAAAUACAGACACUGACACGCAGAGGCACACACGCACACGGACACCCGUGCACAUGGGCAUUAUUGCACACUGUCACUCACACACGCAGACACCCAUGUGCACGGACACCUCUGCACAUGAGCACCCAUGCACACAGCACCCACCCCCAGCAGCACCGACUCCCACACGUGCCCAUGGACACGCUGUGGCUCUCAGUGCCACCCACCCCACACAGCUUUUCCCCUCUCCCAGCACUGCUCAGAGCAGAGUGGCCUUAGGACUCCAUUCAUCGGUCCCACAGUGACAGCUAUGGGUGACCACUCCGUUACCACCCAGAAACAGGGACAGAUAUGAGCACUGUGCCCCACUCCAUCCCUCCAGCAGCUCACCCCGGCCAUGCUCUGGAGCUGAGCCACAUGUUUUGUCCCCAGCAGUAAGUCCUAUUCCAGCGGGCAGCAGAGCUGUGAGUGGCAGAGAUGUCACCAUCCCCAAGGGUGGCUUUGCAAUACGAUCCCAGCUGAGCUCCCUGCUCCCCUGAUGCAAGGAGAACUCUGGGGUGCUCACCCUAUGGGGUGAACCCUUGGUGAGGUGCUGGCUGAGAGGAGGUUCUCCUCCCCAACCCAUCAAUGAUGCUUCCUCCAAAAAAAUAAAAAUAAAAAUAAAAAUAAGGAUCUUGGAUCACCCACUGGAAAAAGGACAGGACACGGACAUGGUACCCAAAACAUCACAGUGAACAACACUCAGACCCCCUGGGCUGCUCAUGGCAUAGCCCCCCUGGCCGCUUGCUUCUGGAAGAAAAGUGUCCUCCUGUGGGGUGAACGUCCCCAUCCUUGCCCUGUAUGGGCAUGAAGUGUCCCUUUGUCCCCACAGGUCCCUGCGUGGCUCCUCUCCUGCAGGCGAUGCUCUCGCUGCAUGGCACAAGGGCAGCGAUGCGGAUGCUCCGCAGCGUCCUCACCCCACCGCUCAGUCCCCCAGCAGGGUUAGGACGUGUCCUUCAGCUCCGGGCUUUGGGGCUGCGGUGGAGGAACUUCUGCAGAAGGUGACUGCAUCUCCUGGGAGCUGCC